This 396-nucleotide ribosomal RNA is filed under the name uncultured bacterium. Its description in RNAcentral is "partial 16S ribosomal RNA". It matches the Rfam family "Bacterial small subunit ribosomal RNA", at positions 523 to 918 of the family's 1533-position model. The record is from RNAcentral.
AUACGUAGGGAGCGAGCGUUGUCCGGAAUUACUGGGUGUAAAGGGUGCGUAGGCGGGGAUGCAAGUCAGAUGUGAAAUGUAUGGGCUCAACCCAUGAACUGCAUUUGAAACUGCAACUCUUGAGUGAGGUAGAGGUAAGCGGAAUUCCUAGUGUAGCGGUGAAAUGCGUAGAUAUUAGGAGGAACAUCGGUGGCGAAGGCGGCUUACUGGGCCUUUACUGACGCUGAGGCACGAAAGCGUGGGGAGCAAACAGGAUUAGAUACCCUGGUAGUCCACGCAGUAAACGAUGAUGACUAGGUGUGGGGGGACUGAACCCUUCCGUGCCGCAGUUAACACAAUAAGUCAUCCACCUGGGGAGUACGACCGCAAGGUUGAAACUCAAAUGAAUUGACGGGG